AGUACUGAAUGGUUUAUGCAGACCAAGUAUUCCCAAUUUUAUCUUAACAGUUGUCUCAAAUCCAUUCCUAGUAAUAAAAUGAACAAGCUUACAGUUCCAAUUUAAAGUACUACACUGUUAAAAUUUUACAUAGCCAUUUUAUAGAAAAACCAAAGCAACAGAAUAUUACUCUCCACAAGAUUAUUAAUUGUUAAUUAUUAACUAUUAACCUCCACAAGAUCUCUUUUAUCAGUUACCAUGUCUGUAACAUAGUGGGUUGAUGUUAGCUGGAUAGCAGGUGCCCACGAAGCCGCUCCAACAACUCCCCUCCUCAGCCAGACAAGAGAGGGAAAAAUACAACACAAGGCUCAUGGGUGGGAGAUCACUCACCAAUUACCAUCAUGGGCAAAACAGGCUCGACCUGGGGAAAUUAGCUGAAUUUAUUGUCAAUCAAAUCAGAGUAGGGUAACGAGAAAUAAAACACCUUCCCCCCACCCCUCCCUUCUUUCCAGGCUCAAAUUCACUCCCAAUUCUCUCCACCUCCUCCCCUCCAGUGGUGCAGGAGGAAUGGGGGUUGUGGUCAGUUCAUCACAUUGUCUCUGCCGCUCCUUCCACCUCACACACUUUCCUACUCCAGUGUGGGGUCCCUCCCCUGAAGCAGAGUCCUCUGAAAUUCUCCGAUGUGAGUCCUUCCCAUGGGCUGCAGUUCUUCAAGAACAGGCUGCUUCAGCGUGGGCUUCCCACAGGGUCACAGCCUCCUUCAGGCACCCCCCUUCUCCGACAUCGGGUCCUCCCCGGGCUGCAGGUCAAUAUCUGCUCCACCACUGACCUCCAUGGGCUGCAGGGGGAGAGCCUGCCUCACCAUGGUCUACAUCAUGAACUUCAGGAGAGUAUCUGCUCCAAUGUCUCGAGCAUCUCCUCCCCUCCUCCUUCACUGACCUUGGGGUCUGCAGAGCUGUUCCUCUCACAUAUUCUCACUACUCUCUCCAGCUGCUGUUGCACAGCAGUUUUUUCCCCUUCUUAAAUAUGUUAUCCCAAAGGUGCUACCACUGUCACUGAUGCACAGAAAACAUAGCCCAUCCCACUACUGUUUCAGUUAUAGCUUUGGAAAAUACAACAGAUUUUUAUGAAGAUCGUUAGAGGGCUGAUGUUUCUGAUGGGCUCAGCCUUGGCCAGCAGGGGGUCUGUGUUGGAGCUGUCUAGCAUUGGCUCUAUGAGACUGGGGGAAGCUUCUGGCAUCUUCUCAAAGAAGACACCUCUGUAGCCCCCCGCUACGAAAACCUUGCCAUGCAAACCCAAUAUAGUACAGUAUUACAAUGGCCAUUAAACAAUUUAAAAAUUGCCAUGAGAAUUAGCUUUGCAUUAACAAGAACAUCAGAUACAUGGUAGGAAAUAUGCAACCUGAAGGGACCCCAACACAGCUCCUGAAACAUAAUAAAUCUUAGUAUUGAUAAGGCACAACAGGAGUCCCAGUAGGGCAUCGUUUACUCCAUGUACACCCCACACUGCAUGUCUGCAGUUUCUGUUCUUCGAGCUCUCUAGUCAUGAUGUAAUUCCACCAUUCAACUGUUUCCACUGCACCAUUUACCUGAGUGGUUGUCUCAGCUCCCAGGCACAGGCAACAUAAACCCAUUCCAACAGCUGCUCCUAUGCAGUGACUAGUGCAUUGCCUUUUUUCUCACAGAGAACAUUGUGGAUCAAAGCAUUAUCUUUAGAGAAGAUGCUCCAAUGGAUGGAUAAAUGUUCAGCUCGUUAGCCCAACAGUUGAGACAUUACAGCGCCUAUUCUUAUAGCACAAACUUUUCAGAUUUUUGUAACUGAACAGUCUAGGGAUUCUGGUAUGUGAAACAUAAAACACAUAUAGCAUGAGACCCAGC
This 1856-nucleotide long non-coding RNA is filed under the name Strigops habroptila (Kakapo). RNAcentral's name for it is "lncRNA (ENSSHBG00005010943.1)". Lineage: Eukaryota; Metazoa; Chordata; Aves; Psittaciformes; Psittacidae. The record is from RNAcentral.